RNAcentral lists this ribosomal RNA (497 nucleotides) under uncultured bacterium. RNAcentral's name for it is "partial 16S ribosomal RNA". It matches the Rfam family "Bacterial small subunit ribosomal RNA", at positions 28 to 507 of the family's 1533-position model. The record is from RNAcentral.
GAUGAACGCUGGCGGCGUGCUUAAUACAUGCAAGUCGAACGAACAGACGAGGCGCUUGCUCCUCUGACGUUAGCGGAGGACGGGUGAGUAACACGUGGAUACCCUACCUAUAAUACUGGGAUAACUUCGGGACACCGGCUCAUAUACCGGAUAAUAUCUUGCACCGCAUGGGUGAAUGGUGAAAGACGGUUUUGCUGUCUCUUAUAGAUGGAUACGCGCCGCAUUGGCUAGUUGGUAAGGUAAAGGCCUAUCAAGGCAACGAUGCGUAGCCGACGUGAGGGGGGGGUCGCCCACAUGGGAGCGGGGACGCGGACCAGGGGACUACGGGAGGGAGCAGAAGGGAAUGGGACGCAAUGGGGGGAAGCCUGACGGAGCAAGGCCGCGUGAGUGACGAAGGUCUUCGGAUCGUAAAACCGUGUUACUAGUUAAGAACAGAUGUGGAAUUAACUGUGGACGGCUUGACGGUAACGGAUCAGAAAGCCACGGCUAACUACGUG